GCUCUGCUGGCGGAAUGGCAUACGUGGCGGUCUUAAAAACCGGCAAAACCCCACAAACAUUUAAAAAGCGGGGGUGAUACGGGUUCGAAUCCCGUGCAGAGCA
This 103-nucleotide transfer RNA is filed under the name Bifidobacterium dentium. RNAcentral describes it as "tRNA-Leu". It matches the Rfam family "tRNA". From Rfam's summary of the family: Transfer RNA (tRNA) molecules are approximately 80 nucleotides in length. Their secondary structure includes four short double-helical elements and three loops (D, anti-codon, and T loops). The record is from RNAcentral. Lineage: Bacteria; Bacillati; Actinomycetota; Actinomycetes; Bifidobacteriales; Bifidobacteriaceae.